UACUCGAGUGGCUAACGGGUGAGUAACACGUGGGUGAUCUGCCCUGCACUUCGGGAUAAGCCUGGGAAACUGGGUCUAAUACCGGAUAGGAGCCAUUUUUAGUGUGAUGGUUGGAAAGUUUUUUCGGUGUAGGAUGAGCUCGCGGCCUAUCAGCUUGUUGGUGGGGUAAUGGCCUACCAAGGCGGCGACGGGUAGCCGGCCUGAGAGGGUGGACGGCCACAUUGGGACUGAGAUACGGCCCAG
This 243-nucleotide ribosomal RNA is filed under the name uncultured Actinomycetales bacterium. RNAcentral's name for it is "partial 16S ribosomal RNA". It matches the Rfam family "Bacterial small subunit ribosomal RNA", at positions 88 to 334 of the family's 1533-position model. The record is from RNAcentral. Lineage: Bacteria; Bacillati; Actinomycetota; Actinomycetes; Actinomycetales.